GGCGCUAUAGUGUAGUGGUUAUCACUCGGGAUUUUGAAGAGGCGCGUCUGCCUUUAAAUCUUCCCGAAACCCAGGUUCGAACCCUGGUAGCGCCU
Coprinopsis cinerea okayama7#130 is the source of this 95-nucleotide transfer RNA. It matches the Rfam family "tRNA". From Rfam's summary of the family: Transfer RNA (tRNA) molecules are approximately 80 nucleotides in length. NCBI's taxonomy places the organism in Eukaryota, Fungi, Basidiomycota, Agaricomycetes, Agaricales, Psathyrellaceae. The record is from Rfam.